Molecule: microRNA precursor, 95 nt
Filed under: Canis lupus familiaris (dog)
Lineage: Eukaryota; Metazoa; Chordata; Mammalia; Carnivora; Canidae
Also listed under: 1 other name
Description: mir-8799 microRNA precursor family
Rfam family: mir-8799 microRNA precursor family
Source: Rfam by way of RNAcentral
GGGGGGAGCACCGGAUCCUGGGCUGUGUCCCCCAGCACCAGGUGCUCCAGGGCCUGCACUGCUGGAAUCGCGCUCCCGGGUCAGUGCAGCCGCUU